RNAcentral lists this ribosomal RNA (465 nucleotides) under Vreelandella stevensii. RNAcentral describes it as "partial 16S ribosomal RNA". It matches the Rfam family "Bacterial small subunit ribosomal RNA", at positions 338 to 795 of the family's 1533-position model. Lineage: Bacteria; Pseudomonadati; Pseudomonadota; Gammaproteobacteria; Oceanospirillales; Halomonadaceae. The record is from RNAcentral.
CCUACGGGAGGCUGCAGUGGGGAAUAUUGGACAAUGGGGGGAACCCUGAUCCAGCCAUGCCGCGUGUGUGAAGAAGGCCCUCGGGUUGUAAAGCACUUUCAGUGAGGAAGAACGCCUGGUGGUUAAUACCCAUCAGGAAAGACAUCACUCACAGAAGAAGCACCGGCUAACUCCGUGCCAGCAGCCGCGGUAAUACGGAGGGUGCGAGCGUUAAUCGGAAUUACUGGGCGUAAAGCGCGCGUAGGUGGCUUGAUAAGCCGGUUGUGAAAGCCCCGGGCUCAACCUGGGAACGGCAUCCGGAACUGUCAAGCUAGAGUGCAGGAGAGGAAGGUAGAAGUCCCGGUGUAGCGGUGAAAUGCGUAGAGAUCGGGAGGAAUACCAGUGGCGAAGGCGGCCUUCUGGACUGACACUGACACUGAGGUGCGAAAGCGUGGGUAGCAAACAGGAUUAGAUACCCGUGUAGUC